CUCCCUCUCUUCCUCCUUUGUUCCUUUACUUCUUUUUUUUUUUUUUUGAUACUUAGGCUAUAAUUCAAAAAUGUUGAUCUGUAGAUUAGACAUUGUAAUAAUUUGCACAGAAUCUGUUAUUAAUAUACAUGUAGGUGUUUGGUAAACAAGUAUUUCCAUAAUAGGUCAUGAGGAAUUUGUAAUCACUUCGCAAGCACUGCUUCAUUAAUCUUAACAAUUUUCUUGUGAGGUUAAUUGUGUAGCAAUAAUUAAUCUCCCCUUUGAGUAGGUGGGCUUUUGUCUCAUUGAGAAUAUUCUUAUCUCCCCUGAGAGGCGGGAGAGGAAAAGUAGGCUGUUUAAACUUUAAAUAUGACUCCAUGAGUUAGUGGGGAGGAAAUAAUUCUUCCCAUUGUUAGUGGUAUGCUGGCAAGCUUUGUUCUACGGGGCUGUGCUUUCCAUUUAAUUUCCUGGCUUUCCUAUUCUCAAGAAGUUUGGAUGAUGAUAUGCUCAUUACUUAUAAGAGAGACUUCAGCAGUCAACGAGGAGUACACGUAGGCCAUUGAACAACAAAAAAAUUAAAACAAAAUGAAAAAAUAAACAUUUUUCUGGUAUUUUUUCUUCGUAUAUUUUGUGACAAAAAUCCACGAAUGGAGUGAAUUGCCAGUUUAGUUCCCACAUUUGUAUAUCUGAUCUGUCACACACACAUCCGCAUAUACACUUAUAUGUGAAUAUAUAACAUUAAAUAAUCACAACUAUUUUAUGCAUAUAUAAUUUGAAAAGAUAAACAUUUUUCAAUAGUUUGAGAAUAUAUUCCCUGUUAAACUGAAUUUACUAAUGAAAUAUUUACUAAAUAUACUUUUAACCAGAGUGAUUUAUGAGAAGAUCAUAGGAAUAACAAAGAAUAAAAAUACCUUUUGCCAAGGAAGCUUUAUAUUUUAAUUUGAUUUUUUUGAAAAUUCACACGAUGUCUUUUUAAUCAAUACAUUCAGAGCAGUAUUCUGUGGAUCUUUUUGUAUGUCAGAAAUUAAAGUUUGACUUAGGAUUUAAAAGUAAAUCGUUUGUCAAGUAGGUUUCUAAAAUUGAAAACGUGUUCAUUUCAAAAGGGAACAAUUUACUUUUACAUUUCUGAGGAAGUCACAUAUAUUAUGUACUAAUAAAUUAACAGUCUCAUAUUCACUUUAAUCCUUGAUUGUUUCUUUGGCAGUUUGUUACAUGCUAGAUUCUACACUCCCACAGCUAUAAAUUCAGUUCCAGAACGUAGGAAGGUAAUUUUAAAGUAAAACAAAAAUUGUUGCAAGAGACAACAUGUCAUAGUGGUUAAGAAUCAGUCUCCCUGGUUUCAAAUCCCAAUUUCCAACUUUUCAGCCUUGAGACUUUUACACACUUACCUAAACAUCAGGAUUUAGUUUGUUUUGUUUUUUGCUUUUGUUUCUGUAUUUCUGUGAAGUGGUGAUGAUUUUAAUGAGAGAAUUGGAAGGUUGAAUGGGGUAAUGCCUGUAAAAUAUUUAGCAUAAUGCUUGGACUGUGUAUUAAAGACUCAAUAAAUGUUAAAUUCCAUUAAUUGGGUAAUCCUGAAACCCUUUACUGCAAUUAGAAUUCUUUAUUACAACAAAUAAAAUUUGAUUCAUAAUAAAAAGUGAUCAAUUUCUUUAAUUGACCUCUGAGAAAUUAAAAUGCCUCCUGGAUUGUUAAGUCCUCAGAAAUGUAUUGCAUCUUUAAUUCUUUAUUUCCUCUGAAUACUCAUGCAUGUGAGAAAAGAUGUCUGAGUUAAGACAUGUCUAUUCUCCUUUAGUCCUCAUUUCAAAUAUCAACCACUAUUUACAGUAUCAUCACUUUUUCCUUUUAAAAUGGACUAGUCAGUUUUAUCUCGAGAUUGUUUGAAAAAGGGUGAUUGCCCCAAAUGACGGUUUCCUGAAGACCAGGAUAGACUAACCAAGAAAAGGCAAAUAUAUUUUGGCCACCUAAGUAACUGCUUCCUCUUAGUAUUUUUCUGUAAAUAUGGAUGUCCAUUUGGACUAGUCCUUUCUCAAUCAUAUUGAAGUUUAAAUAUAUUUACUUUAAUUGGUUAAAUCAAGUUAACAAUCUCUAUUCUGAUUUCUUCCUAAGGAUUGGUAUGCAUGACAAAAAGAAUGAAACUAUAACUUAAGGCUUGGCCUGCAUUGAAUGCCUUUUUCCUCCUGAGCAGAGUCAAUUGAAAAAUAUCUCGCUUGCUGCCUCCUUUUUAACAUUUAUUCUUAGGCUUAAU
Molecule: long non-coding RNA, 2224 nt
Organism: Sapajus apella (tufted capuchin)
Lineage: Eukaryota; Metazoa; Chordata; Mammalia; Primates; Cebidae
Exons: 2
Source: RefSeq, a predicted model, not a curated record